AUGUUAGCGGCGGACGGGUGAGUAACACGUGGGUAACCUGCCUGUAAGACUGGGAUAACUCCGGGAAACCGGGGCUAAUACCGGAUGGUUGUCUGAACCGCAUGGUUCAGACAUAAAAGGUGGCUUCGGCUACCACUUACAGAUGGACCCGCGGCGCAUUAGCUAGUUGGUGAGGUAACGGCUCACCAAGGCGACGAUGCGUAGCCGACCUGAGAGGGUGAUCGGCCACACUGGGACUGAGACACGGCCCAGACUCCUACGGGAGGCAGCAGUAGGGAAUCUUCCGCAAUGGACGAAAGUCUGACGGAGCAACGCCGCGUGAGUGAUGAAGGUUUUCGGAUCGUAAAGCUCUGUUGUUAGGGAAGAACAAGUGCCGUUCAAAUAGGGCGGCACCUUGACGGUACCUAACCAGAAAGCCACGGCUAACUACGUGCCAGCAGCCGCGGUAAUACGUAGGUGGCAAGCGUUGUCCGGAAUUAUUGGGCGUAAAGGGCUCGCAGGCGGUUUCUUAAGUCUGAUGUGAAAGCCCCCGGCUCAACCGGGGAGGGUCAUUGGAAACUGGGGAACUUGAGUGCAGAAGAGGAGAGUGGAAUUCCACGUGUAGCGGUGAAAUGCGUAGAGAUGUGGAGGAACACCAGUGGCGAAGGCGACUCUCUGGUCUGUAACUGACGCUGAGGAGCGAAAGCGUGGGGAGCGAACAGGAUUAGAUACCCUGGUAGUCCACGCCGUAAACGAUGAGUGCUAAGUGUUAGGGGGUUUCCGCCCCUUAGUGCUGCAGCUAACGCAUUAAGCACUCCGCCUGGGGAGUACGGUCGCAAGACUGAAACUCAAAGGAAUUGACGGGGGCCCGCACAAGCGGUGGAGCAUGUGGUUUAAUUCGAAGCAACGCGAAGAACCUUACCAGGUCUUGACAUCCUCUGACAAUCCUAGAGAUAGGACGUCCCCUUCGGGGGCAGAGUGACAGGUGGUGCAUGGUUGUCGUCAGCUCGUGUCGUGAGAUGUUGGGUUAAAGUCCCGCAACGAGCGCAACCCUUGAUCUUAGUUGCCAGCAUUCAGUUGGGCACUCUAAGGUGACUGCCGGUGACAAACCGGAGGAAGGUGGGGAUGACGUCAAAUCAUCAUGCCCCUUAUGACCUGGGCUACACACGUGCUACAAUGGACAGAACAAGGGCAGCGAAACCGCGAGGUUAAGCCCAAUC
This 1199-nucleotide ribosomal RNA is filed under the name Bacillus velezensis. RNAcentral's name for it is "bacterial SSU rRNA". It matches the Rfam family "Bacterial small subunit ribosomal RNA", at positions 89 to 1274 of the family's 1533-position model. Lineage: Bacteria; Bacillati; Bacillota; Bacilli; Caryophanales; Bacillaceae. The record is from RNAcentral.